Molecule: ribosomal RNA, 1373 nt
Filed under: uncultured bacterium
Lineage: Bacteria
Description: bacterial SSU rRNA
Rfam family: Bacterial small subunit ribosomal RNA
Source: RNAcentral
GAUGAACGCUGGCGGCGUGCCUAAUACAUGCAAGUCGAGCGAACGGACGAGAAGCUUGCUUCUCUGAUGUUAGCGGCGGACGGGUGAGUAACACGUGGAUAACCUACCUAUAAGACUGGGAUAACUUCGGGAAACCGGAGCUAAUACCGGAUAAUAUUUUGAACCGCAUGGUUCAAAAGUGAAAGACGGUCUUGCUGUCACUUAUAGAUGGAUCCGCGCUGCAUUAGCUAGUUGGUAAGGUAACGGCUUACCAAGGCAACGAUGCAUAGCCGACCUGAGAGGGUGAUCGGCCACACUGGAACUGAGACACGGUCCAGACUCCUACGGGGGGCAGCAGUAGGGAAUCUUCCGCAAUGGGCGAAAGCCUGACGGAGCAACGCCGCGUGAGUGAUGAAGGUCUUCGGAUCGUAAAACUCUGUUAUUAGGGAAGAACAUAUGUGUAAGUAACUGUGCACAUCUUGACGGUACCUAAUCAGAAAGCCACGGCUAACUACGUGCCAGCAGCCGCGGUAAUACGUAGGUGGCAAGCGUUAUCCGGAAUUAUUGGGCGUAAAGCGCGCGUAGGCGGUUUUUUAAGUCUGAUGUGAAAGCCCACGGCUCAACCGUGGAGGGUCAUUGGAAACUGGAAAACUUGAGUGCAGAAGAGGAAAGUGGAAUUCCAUGUGUAGCGGUGAAAUGCGCAGAGAUAUGGAGGAACACCAGUGGCGAAGGCGACUUUCUGGUCUGUAACUGACGCUGAUGUGCGAAAGCGUGGGGAUCAAACAGGAUUAGAUACCCUGGUAGUCCACGCCGUAAACGAUGAGUGCUAAGUGUUAGGGGGUUUCCGCCCCUUAGUGCUGCAGCUAACGCAUUAAGCACUCCGCCUGGGGAGUACGACCGCAAGGUUGAAACUCAAAGGAAUUGACGGGGACCCGCACAAGCGGUGGAGCAUGUGGUUUAAUUCGAAGCAACGCGAAGAACCUUACCAAAUCUUGACAUCCUUUGACAACUCUAGAGAUAGAGCCUUCCCCUUCGGGGGGGCAAAGUGACAGGCGGUGCAUGGUUGUCGUCAGCUCGUGUCGUGAGAUGUUGGGUUAAGUCCCGCAACGAGCGCAACCCUUAAGCUUAGUUGCCAUCAUUAAGUUGGGCACUCUAAGUUGACUGCCGGUGACAAACCGGAGGAAGGUGGGGAUGACGUCAAAUCAUCAUGCCCCUUAUGAUUUGGGCUACACACGUGCUACAAUGGACAAUACAAAGGGCAGCGAAACCGCGAGGUCAAGCAAAUCCCAUAAAGUUGUUCUCAGUUCGGAUUGUAGUCUGCAACUCGACUACAUGAAGCUGGAAUCGCUAGUAAUCGUAGAUCAGCAUGCUACGGUGAAUACGUUCCCGGGUCU